Molecule: ribosomal RNA, 468 nt
Filed under: uncultured Streptococcus sp.
Lineage: Bacteria; Bacillati; Bacillota; Bacilli; Lactobacillales; Streptococcaceae
Description: bacterial SSU rRNA
Rfam family: Bacterial small subunit ribosomal RNA
Source: RNAcentral
GACGGGGCCCGCACAAGCGGUGGAGCAUGUGGUCUUAAUUCGAAGCAACGCGAAGUAACCUUACCAGGUCUUGACAUCCCGAUGCUAUUUCUAGAGAUAGAAAGUUACUUCGGUACAUCGGUGACAGGUGGUGCAUGGUUGUCGUCAGCUCGUGUCGUGAGAUGUUGGGUUAAGUCCCGCAACGAGCGCAACCCCUAUUGUUAGUUGCCAUCAUUCAGUUGGGCACUCUAGCGAGACUGCCGGUAAUAAACCGGAGGAAGUGGGAUGACGUCAAAUCAUCAUGCCCCUUAUGACCUGGGCUACACACGUGCUACAAUGGUUGGUACAACGAGUUGCGAGUCGGUGACGGCGAGCUAAUCUCUUAAAGCCAAUCUCAGUUCGGAUUGUAGGCUGCAACUCGCCUACAUGAAGUCGGAAUCGCUAGUAAUCGCGGAUCAGCACGCCGCGGUGAAUACGUUCCCGGGCCUU